This 162-nucleotide ribosomal RNA is filed under the name Staphylococcus aureus. RNAcentral describes it as "partial 23S ribosomal RNA". It matches the Rfam family "Bacterial large subunit ribosomal RNA", at positions 2763 to 2925 of the family's 2925-position model. Lineage: Bacteria; Bacillati; Bacillota; Bacilli; Caryophanales; Staphylococcaceae. The record is from RNAcentral.
GAUAAGUGCUGAAAGCAUCUAAGCAUGAAGCCCCCCUCAAGAUGAGAUUUCCCAACUUCGGUUAUAAGAUCCCUCAAAGAUGAUGAGGUUAAUAGGUUCGAGGUGGAAGCAUGGUGACAUGUGGAGCUGACGAAUACUAAUCGAUCGAAGACUUAAUCAAAA